GUAUUGGCCUACCGUGGCAAUGACGGGUAACGGGGAAUUAGGGUUCGAUUCCGGAGAGGGAGCCUGAGAAACGGCUACCACAUCUAAGGAAGGCAGCAGGCGCGCAAAUUACCCAAUCCUAAUACAGGGAGGUAGUGACAAGAAAUAACAAUACAGGACUUUAAAUAGUUUUGUAAUUGGAAUGAGUUAAGUAUAAACCCCUUUACAAGUAUCAAUUGGAGGGCAAGUCUGGUGCCAGCAGCCGCGGUAAUUCCAGCUCCAAUAGCGUAUAUUAAAGUUGUUGCAGUUAAAAAGCUCGUAGUUGGAUUUCUGUUAAUAAUUUAUAUAUAAUAUUUUAUUAAUAUUUAUAUAGUAUUAACAUAAUUCAUAUUACUAUAUUUUAUAGUAUAUGAAAUUUUACUUUGAGAAAAUUAGAGUGCUUAAAGCAGGCAUUAGCCUUGAAUACUCCAGCAUGGAAUAAUAUAAAAGAUUUUUAUCUUUUUUAUUGGUUCUAAGAUAAAAAUAAUGAUUAAUAGGGACAGUUGGGGGCAUUUGUAUUUAA
RNAcentral lists this ribosomal RNA (541 nucleotides) under Cryptosporidium ubiquitum. Its description in RNAcentral is "SSU rRNA". It matches the Rfam family "Eukaryotic small subunit ribosomal RNA", at positions 333 to 901 of the family's 1831-position model. The record is from RNAcentral. Lineage: Eukaryota; Apicomplexa; Conoidasida; Eucoccidiorida; Cryptosporidiidae.